AGUAUAGAAGUCACAGUAUGGUAUUGAUACAAUUCAUGCAAAGCUGGAGCUACCUGACACAAGCUAACAUUGCAUGAAUUGUAUCAAUACCAUACUGUGACAUUUUAAAA
Non-coding RNA from Pelobates cultripes (western spadefoot toad), 110 nucleotides. The record is from the annotation of a GenBank genome assembly. Lineage: Eukaryota; Metazoa; Chordata; Amphibia; Anura; Pelobatidae.